RNAcentral lists this ribosomal RNA (711 nucleotides) under uncultured bacterium. RNAcentral describes it as "bacterial SSU rRNA". It matches the Rfam family "Bacterial small subunit ribosomal RNA", at positions 60 to 773 of the family's 1533-position model. The record is from RNAcentral.
AGUCAGGGGGCCCGAGGCGCAAGCCAAGGGCAACCGGCGAACGGGUGCGUAACACNGUGAGCAACCUACCGAAAUGUGGGGGAUAGCCGGCCCAACGGCCGGGUAAUACCGCAUACGCUCGAGACCAGGCAUUUGGACUCGAGGAAAUUUACGGAGCAUUUCGAGGGGCUCGCGGCCUAUCAGCUAGUUGGUGAGGUAACGGCUCACCAAGGCGACGACGGGUAGCUGGUCUGAGAGGAUGGCCAGCCACAUUGGGACUGAGAUACGGCCCAGACUCCUACGGGAGGCAGCAGUGGGGAAUCUUGCGCAAUGGCCUAACGGCUGACGCAGCGACGCCGCGUGAGGGAUGACGCUCUUCGGAGUGUAAACCUCUUUUGUCUGAGACGAACUGUCAGCUUUAGCUGAUUUGACGGUAUCGGGCGAAUAAGCACCGGCUAACUCCGUGCCAGCAGCCGCGGUAAUACGGGGGGUGCGAGCGUUGUCCGGAAUCACUGGGCGUAAAGGGCGCGUAGGUGGUCUUAUAAGGGUGUGGUGAAAGCCCGGGGCUCAACCCCGGGUCGGCCGUGCCGACUGUGAGACUAGAGUGCUGUAGGGGCAGGCGGAAUUCCGGGUGUAGCGGUGGAAUGCGUAGAGAUCCGGAGGAAGACCGGUGGCGAAGGCGGCCUGCUGGGCAGAUACUGACACUGAGGCGCGACAGCGUGGGGAGCAACA